This 479-nucleotide long non-coding RNA is filed under the name Ananas comosus (pineapple). RNAcentral's name for it is "long non-coding RNA (ACOM_LNC014767)". The record is from RNAcentral. Lineage: Eukaryota; Viridiplantae; Streptophyta; Magnoliopsida; Poales; Bromeliaceae.
UUUAUAAAAAAAAUUUGUAGAUAAAGUUAUAUAUAAGUAAUGCAAUAGAAUCAUAUAAAUUAAAUAAGUUCCUUAAUAAAUUAUUAUUUUUUACAAUAUUAGCAAAAUAAGAGAUCUUCCUUAUCUAAAUUUCAUAUAUUUAUUUUGAGCUAUGAGUAUAUAUAUAUAUAGAAUUAGGGUGGAAUACUAUUAGUAGUAAAACACUAUUUUUACUAUCAAGUUUUUAACCCUUGGAUGAAAAAUUGUAGGGUUAGGAUGAUAUUAGUCAGUUAGAGUUGAGUGGUCCCCCUAGGGUUGAGUGGUCCCCACUGGGUUAUAGUAUUUAAUCCAAUGGUUAGAAAUGAUGAAAAGAGUUGAUCCAAUGGCUAAAAAACUGGUAGCAACAAUAGAAUUUUGCUACUAAUAGUAGCCCAGUCCAACUCUAUAUAUAUAUAUAUAUACGCGGAAUAAUGUGAUAUGCAACUCAUUUUAGUAAAAUU